This 402-nucleotide ribosomal RNA is filed under the name uncultured bacterium. RNAcentral's name for it is "bacterial SSU rRNA". It matches the Rfam family "Bacterial small subunit ribosomal RNA", at positions 100 to 520 of the family's 1533-position model. The record is from RNAcentral.
CCGGGUGAGUAACACGUGACUAACCUACCUUCGAGUGGGGGAUAACUCCGGGAAACCGGGGCUAAUACCGCAUAACAUCUUUGGAUCGGAAGAACUGAAGAUCAAAGGAGCAAUUCGCUUGAAGAGGGAGUCGCGGCUGAUUAGCUUGUUGGCGGGGUAAUGGCCCACCAAGGCGAUGAUCGGUAUCCGGCCUGAGAGGGCGCACGGACACACUGGAACUGAAACACGGUCCAGACUCCUACGGGAGGCAGCAGUGGGGAAUUUUGCGCAAUGGGGGAAACCCUGACGCAGCAACGCCGCGUGGAGGAUGAAGUCCCUUGGGACGUAAACUCCUUUCGACCGGGACGAUAAUGACGGUACCGGUGGAAGAAGCCCCGGCUAACUUCGUGCCAGCAGCCGCGG